This 74-nucleotide transfer RNA is filed under the name Oligoflexales bacterium. RNAcentral describes it as "tRNA-Cys". It matches the Rfam family "tRNA". From Rfam's summary of the family: Transfer RNA (tRNA) molecules are approximately 80 nucleotides in length. Their secondary structure includes four short double-helical elements and three loops (D, anti-codon, and T loops). Further hydrogen bonds mediate the characteristic L-shaped molecular structure. tRNAs have two regions of fundamental functional importance: the anti-codon, which is responsible for specific mRNA codon recognition, and the 3' end, to which the tRNAs corresponding amino acid is attached (by aminoacyl-tRNA synthetases). tRNAs cope with the degeneracy of the genetic code in two manners: having more than one tRNA (with a specific anti-codon) for a particular amino acid; and 'wobble' base-pairing, i.e. permitting non-standard base-pairing at the 3rd anti-codon position. The record is from RNAcentral. Lineage: Bacteria; Pseudomonadati; Bdellovibrionota; Oligoflexia; Oligoflexales.
GGCGCCGUAGCCAAGUGGCUAGGCAGCGGAUUGCAAAUCCGUCCACAGCGGUUCGAAUCCGCUCGGCGCCUCCA